UUAACUUAUUUGUUUUAAAAUUCAGAGUUCCAAAAUAAAAACAGAGUUUAAGGGGCCUUCGGCAGCCGAGGCCACCGAGGCAACAGAAGGUAUGUUCACAUGGGUUGGGAGUUGUUAUACUCUCUAAUGAUCCCUCCGCUGGUUCACCAACGGAGA
RNAcentral lists this unclassified non-coding RNA (156 nucleotides) under uncultured fungus. RNAcentral describes it as "sequence contains ITS1". Lineage: Eukaryota; Fungi. The record is from RNAcentral.